GGGUGGUCGAACUGACAACUGGAGAAACAAAGAAGUGAGAAGCUGUUCAGAAAAGACCUCAAAGAAGUUAACACUAAAGUGUGUAGGUAACUUGAGAUGUUUUAUCUAUCUUAAUCACGAGGGUCGGGGCCUGUUCCCGAGGGAGCUGUAUAUCCUCCGCCUGGGGCUCGUCAGUCACGAAAUAAGAAAAAGGAUUAUGCUAGUCCGUGGCGGGAGAAUCAUUUUAUCCGAAACUUCAGCCCUGCGCACAUCGGAGAAUUUGGAGAGAGCCCAAGGACGCGCUACCAACAGCAGGCUAAUGGAACGUGAAGUAUGGACUUUUUCGACCGAAAAUACAUCUGUUGUGGACCUGGGAUGCUUUCUGAUGAAGACAACUAAAGUGACCUUGGGCCAGUAAACAGUGUUAGUGAUGUAUUACAAGAGCAGAGGGUGAAUAAUUAUUCCGAAGAGCAGUGGCCCCUCAACACAGUGGCGCUGAGCUGUAAAUAUGGAUGGGAUAUAUAAAAAAAAUAUG
This 514-nucleotide long non-coding RNA is filed under the name Salmo salar (Atlantic salmon). RNAcentral describes it as "lncRNA (ENSSSAG00000101345.1)". Lineage: Eukaryota; Metazoa; Chordata; Actinopteri; Salmoniformes; Salmonidae. The record is from RNAcentral.